CUGACCAACAAUUAAAGCAGAAGACCUGCUCCACCUGCUGAUCUACUGGUUGUAAGAGAUUGUGGAAAAGCAUAACUGAGACAAGACAACAGCACUGAACCAAUCAGGAGAGAGAAGACACAGAAAAUCCUGCUGGAAAUCCCGAGAUGAAGUUUCCUGAUGCAACAGGGGGAAACCUGAGGACACAGAAUAAAGAAGGACCAUGUGAAACUCAUGAAGAGGAUGGUCAGAGUUGUCCAUAGCUUUCUUGACUCUUAUGAAGAAUCCUUCUUUGCAUCAUCUCCAGAGGUUCCCCAGUCGUCUCCAGAACAGAACCAGAACAAAUCCAGCCUUCUUUAUCAGAUUGUUGAGCCUUUUGAGGUUCCUGGCUCUGAUGCUGCUGCACCAACAGAUGAUAGCAGAAGAGAUGACACUCUCAGCAUCAGACUUAAAGAUCUGCAGCAACUUGCUGCAAAUCUUGAAGGAUCGUAGCUUCCUCGAGAAGCGCAGUCUGCUCUGUCUCUUUUUAUAGACGGCUUCACUGUUGCGUCUCCAGUCCAGUCUGUGUUCCAGAUGAACACCGAGGUAUUUAUAUUCCUGAACCACCUCCACAUCUUCUCCCAUGAUGGAAAUAGGGUUUCCUGUUUCUCCUGAAAUCAACAACCAUCUCCUUUGUUUUGUUUACAGUCAAGAUUAGAUGAUUGUUCCCACACCAGGCCACAAAGUGAUCCACCAGAUCUCUGUACUCAGCCUCUUGUCUUCCUCUGAUACACACAACAACUGCAGAGUCGUCUGAGUAUUUCUGUAGAUGACAGAAGUUGGACUUGUGCGGGAAGUCUGAACAGUAGAGAGUGAAAAUGAAUGGUAGUCACAGAUGCAGGUGAUUGUUGAGGCCUCCACCUGUGUCUUCUGGAGUUUCUAACGGAGCAGAUCAGGCUGAAUUGUGUUCAAUGCACCUGAGAACCAAAGACCCUGAUCCUCACUGUGCUGCCUGCUUUGUCCAGAUGACAGUGGGUUUGUUGAAGCAGGUGUCUGAUCAACUCCAACUCCACGGUGAUAAGCAAACUGCAGGGGGUCCUGAUAUCUGAUCGUCUGCUUACUCAAGUGGGCCACCAGGAGUCUCUCCAGGACCUUCAUGAUGUGCGAUGCCAGGGCAACGGGUCUACAGUCGUUAUGACUGAUGGGUGACUUUUCUUCGGUACCGGAACCAGGCAGGAUGUCUUCCACAACAACGGAAACUCCUCUUGGGUCAGGCAAAGGUUGAAGAGAUGCUGCAGAAUCCCACAGAGGGACUCUGGGACCGACACCAUCUGGACCUGCAUCCUCGUUCCUGUUCAGUCUCUCCGGCUGCUUCUUCACCUGACUUCUAGAUACAGAAAAGUUGGAGGUGGAGGCAAAAGGGAGCAGCAGCGUCUCCUAAUGUGGUUGAAGACAAACUGGUGGAAGCAGAAGAGUCCAUGACUGAGGUGGAAGAUGGAACAUCUGAGGCUUGACAGGAAAGCUGUGGGUCAGAGGAGGAUGAGAUAUCUGGCUGCAGACAGGAGAGGAUGAUGAUGAUGAGCUUGUUCCUGGACUGAACCUGUUGAAGAAUGUGUUCAGCUCAUUUGCUCUGUCCAGAAACUAAUAUUGUUUAAAAAAAAGUCAUGGUAGCAUGUUGUUAUGUAAUAAUGUGCAUGUAAUGUUUGGAAUGAAGAAGAUAUGCUGCAUAAUCUGAUGUCAUUACAAAAGAGUUUUGUGUCUCAGUGCAAAAAUACACAUUUUGUUGGUUUCUGAAGAGUAAAAAUUGAACAAAUGUGUUAAUCACUUAAAGAUUAAGUUUAUAUUUCACAGUCAUCACAAUGCUAAAGAAAAGUCUGACAACAGUGUGAAAAUCAUGUUGUGGAAAGAAGAUAUUAAAGAAUGUAAUAU
Xiphophorus maculatus (southern platyfish) is the source of this 1887-nucleotide long non-coding RNA. RefSeq lists it as uncharacterized. The record is from RefSeq and is a predicted model, not a curated record. The transcript is spliced from 4 exons. Lineage: Eukaryota; Metazoa; Chordata; Actinopteri; Cyprinodontiformes; Poeciliidae.